This is a long non-coding RNA of Suricata suricatta (meerkat), 2779 nucleotides long. RefSeq lists it as uncharacterized. The transcript is spliced from 2 exons. The record is from RefSeq and is a predicted model, not a curated record. Lineage: Eukaryota; Metazoa; Chordata; Mammalia; Carnivora; Herpestidae.
GCCGCCAGGCAGGCCGUGGCGCACCGCCCACGGACACGCCCUUAACGUCCCCUUUCAACCGCCCAGGACUCGGUGGGGAGUUGCCGCGGCAAAGGUUCUUGCCGUCUGUACUCUCUUCCUAGCCUGGGCCUAGAAAACCCUAGCAUGUGGUCACUGAGCUACUGAAGGAUGCUUCCUGAGGGACUGGUCUGAGGCGUACCACAGGUAAGAGUGAAUCUCCACAAGUCUUGUUUUCUAAACAUUAGAACUCACAGCAUCAGAGAAAGAUCAUCCUGAGAGAGAAAAGGAACAGACUGGACAUGAAUCACUUCUCCAAAGUCAUGGGACCUGCUGGAGCCUGUGUGCUCUGAGGACAGAUCUAGAUGCAGGCUCAUAAAGGGUCCUCAGCCUCUCUGGAAACCCUUCAGGGCACCACCCAUCUUCUCAUUGCUGCUGAAGAAGAAAGUCACUAUCUGGUGUGAUUGGAUUGGAGGACUCCAAAAGAGACGACAGGGAACAGAAAUGAAUGACAUGGGAUGUUAAGAACCACUUUGAAAGCUCCCUGAUUGAGGAAACCUGACACUUGGCCCCAGAAAGAGGAAGUACUAGAAGUUGUGGGGACCCUGGAGAGCUGUUGCCCUGUACAAAGUUCAGCAGCCAGUGCAGCCCUGCACAUGAAACCUCAAAGUUGUGUGUAAUUUGGGUGUCUUUCAGAGAACAGUGGUGGGGGCGGAGGGUCAAAAGCUUUAGGGACCAAAACUUGGAGUAGAGACCUACCAAAGAGGGAAAAACUGACGGGACAAGAUGCCAAAGGAGACCAGAGGAGUGUGGGUUAGAGCCUGGAGGAUACUGAUGCAAGAGCGGCCAGCUCAGAGAAUGUGAAACAUAAAGCUGCCUUUGGGAGGCCAUUUGGGUUCCCCACCCCAUAGGAAGUGGCUUUGCCACCUAAAGUGACAUGUCUGUCCAAUAGGCCUAGAGUCCCACAGAAGCAAGGGCCGUACCUUUCAUGGGCUUGUGCCCAGGCAUAUGGGCGAAGGGUCAUCAUCUCCAGGGAUUUCAGGCUUCAGGCCCUAGAAGACAUGCUGCCCAUCUCAGAUCCUGAAGUAUCUGGCAUCCCAGGCCAUUCUUGCCUCCUCACAGAGCUGCCUUAGGGCAGGGGGAGUUUUCCCAAAGGGAGACCCAGCUCCAUGUAGUGAAGAAGGGACCUACAUGUUUUUGGUUCUUCAGCAAUGUGUGCUUUAGCGAGUUAAGAAUUUGGCUUCCAAUGGGAGGCUGUUAUUUAGCAUGUGAACCUUAAGAGGCUAUAACCUUGUCUCCUCCUCCCCCCGUGAAGAGGAAGCAGAGAAUCCAGAUUCUGGUCUACACUGUAGCUAGCAGGGUGCCUUUAUGAGCAUCUGAGAGGGGACUCCUCCUGGCAUGUCUGAGCCUUGAGGGGUCGUAGGGUGAGAUGAUGAGGAAAACCAAGCUGAGGUUGUGACCAACUCUUGACUUUGUGGGGAAUCCAACGCCCUUUCCCCAGGUGCCUCUCUAGUCUCUUGAUUCAUCUCUGUGCCUUUUGAAGCUAUGCUACCACAGGCCAGAUGGCAGCCUCUCCGAGCUACUGUCCUGUGAAAACAAGUGUAAUACCUGCUCCACAAGAUGCAAGUGAUGAUUAAAUAACACAACUCCAGGGCUUAUCAGAGUGCCAGGCACAUCGGAGGAGCUUGAGGAGUGGCAACUCUAAAAUCCUGCAUCCUGCUCUAUGGACCACACUCCCCCUGGUCUGGUGGCGUGGGUAAGGGGAUGGACACACCUGACUGUUAAUGACCUGGACUCAGACGAAAGGGCAGGCAGGAGAAAGAGGGCUCACACAGGCCGGAGACCACUGUGGGCUCCAGAGGACAGAGAGAGGUGGGGAAGGGGUGAGUUCGAGGCAGGGCAACAGGCAGAAGAGACUGAGGAAAAGAGAACAGACGUAAGACCUCCAACAAGAGAGAUGGAGUGGGGCACCUGGCUGGUUCAGUCGGUAGAGCAUGCGAUUCAUCUUGCGGUUAUGAGUUCAAGCCCCAUGUUGGAUGUACAGAUUACUUAAAAAGGAGAGAAUGAACAAUGGAGUGACGGUCGUGCAGAGAUCAAAGAGGAAAGAGAACAGGGCUGAGGAGGUCCCAGCCUAGCCCGAGCUGAGGUGGACAAUUCUGGGACACAGGGACAGAUGGGACUAUCUGAGUUGAUGACAGAAAUGCUCUGGAGACCUCAGUGGAAACAAAGACUUACUCCACAGACCCCCUCCAUUCUAAAAGGGACAGACAAGACCCCAGAGGCUGCAAGGGGCUCACACUCAGCACCCCUCGGUCUGCACCCCUAAAGAAUCAGCUUCAGGCCAGUGGUGCAUCCAUGUUACCCUGUCACACUGGGCAGAGUGGCCUCAUCUCUCCCAUCCUUGCCACCCACAUCACCACAGACAAGGAAGCAGUCCAAGGGGUUUACCAGGGAUGUGCAGUAAAAAUAGAAAAUGUCAGUUAAAACCCCCCACAGCCUGAGAUGAUUGAUGAGCAGAUUCCUUAACCCCAUCUGGCUCUCUCCUGGGCAUUUGGAGGUGACCCCACCUCCCCAAGCCCCGGGGCAGGCAGGCGGUGGAGUGGUGCCACCGCAGACGGAGGGUCUGCCCGUAAGUCUGUCCUGCAGAUUGGGUAGAGCCAGGUGCAUCCACAAGGGGUCAGGGGCCAUGAUCUGGCAUCUGCAGCGCCUCAGUGAAGUCCCAGUUGGCUAAAGGGUAGAGUCCAUCAGGGGGUGGCCAUUCUCGGGAAGCAUGAUGCGAGUG